AGAGAAGCGCAAACGGUGGAUGCCUUGGCAGUAAGAGGCGAAGAAGGACGUGGAAUCCUGCGAAAAGCUAUGGGGAGCUGGAAACGAGCGUUGAGCCAUAGAUGUCCGAAUGGGGGAACCCGGCUGCAGCGAUGCGGUCAUUUGCAUUUGAAUACAUAGGAUGCAAAGGCGAACUCGGGGAACUGAAACAUCUAAGUACCCGAAGGAAAAGAAAUCAAGAGAGAUUCUCCAAGUAGCGGCGAGCGAACGGGGAGGAGCCUGGCGUGAUUUAUUAUUGAACUGAGUAGAACAAUUUGGGAAAGUUGGCGAUAGAGGGUGAAAGCCCCGUAUACGAAGGUUUGAUGAGGAACUAGGCACGCGAACAAGUAGGCCGGGACACGUGAAAUCCUGGUUGAAGAUGGGUGGACCAUCAUCCAAGGCUAAAUACU
RNAcentral lists this ribosomal RNA (428 nucleotides) under Legionella pneumophila. Its description in RNAcentral is "partial 23S ribosomal RNA". It matches the Rfam family "Bacterial large subunit ribosomal RNA", at positions 1 to 474 of the family's 2925-position model. The record is from RNAcentral. Lineage: Bacteria; Pseudomonadati; Pseudomonadota; Gammaproteobacteria; Legionellales; Legionellaceae.